GUGCUGUAUGAAGGAAAGAAGGUUGGCAUUCCUGACAGGGAUGGAAGAGGCCCUUUGGGCCUGACAACAAUAGCAGAGAGGGCUACAAGCCCCACCUACUUCUGGCAAGAUCUAACCCUCGUUUUUU
This is a non-coding RNA of Chlorocebus sabaeus (green monkey), 127 nucleotides long. The record is from RefSeq and is a predicted model, not a curated record. NCBI's taxonomy places the organism in Eukaryota, Metazoa, Chordata, Mammalia, Primates, Cercopithecidae.